GUUAUGUACUACCAUAAGUUAUCUUUUCCAAUUUUCGUUUCCCUCCCAAAAGCAACAUACCACACUGUCAACCUCUCAUUGGUCAAAUACCGUAUUUUUCUAUGAUUCCAUUUCCCCUUCUUCUCUUCCUCUCUCCACCACAUUCUUCUUCUCUUUCUUUUCUCUCCUUUUCCGAGCGAUCACGCUUUCUACCACCGUAUCUCCUUUCCGACAGUCACUACUCACCAAGAUUCCAUUUUACUCUAACAAUUUAUUGUUUUCUUGAAGCAAAUAGAUCCAGAUCUAAAACAUUAAUUUGGUUUAACCUUGCAGAUUUAAAGGAAAUCAUACAAAGGAAAAACUGAUGAAGAUGAAAUAGGAUCUACAAGUAUGUGUUAUGGGGUUUUUAUUUUUUCCAUGCUUCUGAUUUUUUGUUUUCUAUGUUCUCUCUCUUUAUCCCUUCAAAUCCUAGCUCUGCCGCCGCCACCUCUUUAGGUUCCAAUUCCAGAUCUAUCAUGUUUUCCAUUUUUUUGCAAAGACGGUUGAUUUUGUACUUCAUAUCUAUUUUAUUUUUAGUAAUUUAUUUUAGAUUAUGAAAUAGCUUUUUAUUUUGAUUUUUGCAGAAUGCUUUUCAAUGAUAUUCCACUACGUUCAAAUCGGGUGAGUUUUGCCGAGUUAGGAUUUUCAACCUUGAUGAGUUUUGCCAAGUUAUGUUUUUUCGUUGAAUCAUGUGAUUUUCAACAUUCUGUAUUGUAUUUGAUUUGCUAGAUCUGAACUUUAGUUUGUUUCUUUAUUAUUAGAAAGAUGUGGAAUAUACCCGUGCUCCGACAUUCGGUAAGACCUCACGAAAACACCUUUUGUGCCACACACUAUUUAAAAGAUUGCUUCCAUUGCCAAAAUAGUAUAGUUCCUUUUCUGCACUUUACAGGACGUAGAGGCUAAUCCUAAAUGUUCAGUGCUUGUGGCUAGAGAUCCUAAAGAUACGACUGAUUUGGUCAGACUGCAAUGUCUCUAACUAAAUUUUCGUAAGGACCUCAAAACAGUGGGCUGCAUAUUCCCCAAACAUGUUUUGAAAUUGUUGAGAAAACAAUUUAUAAAUUUACCUCGGGUUUAACAAAUACAAAUUGAUACAUGUUGUCUCUUAAUUGCCUUUCAUUUGGUAACCAUAUAUAUUUUGAAUGUUAAUAAUUCAAUUUGAAUGUUAGUAAUUUGUUUUCUUUAAAAACUAUUUAAUGCACUUUAAUGGACAAGGUUGCCUUCACUUUUGUUGCAGCUGUUUCUUGCAGGGCUGAUUUGGUAAUGUGCUGUCUGCCGAGUUUGGUUCAGUGUUGGCUGGUUUUCGUUGGAGGGUGUCAUUCUGGGAGGCGUUUCCAGAGUUAAACGACAUCAUCAAUUUCGUGUAGUUACAACUCUGCUAAAAUUCUUAUCUCAGUAACAGAAAUUAUUCUAAUUUUUUCCAAUGUUCAAAUGGCUUCUUCUUUGCCAUUGGUGUCAGCUAUGAAGGAGUGAUACUACAUGCUACAUUUCGGUUGGUCAUAGGCUGAUAAUCGGUUGAUCAAAGAAACAAUGACCCACUUGCUUUUAGGAGAGUUAACUUGCUCUCAUAAGAAAGAUAACUCUUACAAUGAAGAAUGGGACAGGAAAUUAGAGUACAAAAGAUAGCACUGAGGAUUGGGGGUGUCUCAACAAGUUGAAUGUUUCAUGUUUACAAUAUUUAAUUUCAGCUGGGAUCACUUGAUUAGUUUGAAAGCAAGGGUUUCUUUUUUAAUCCUUCUAUUAGUUAAUUAAGUAGAUAUAUUAACCCCCUCAUGCGAAGACUAUGCACAUUAUUUGUAUUUUUUGUUAUACUCCUAUUUUAUUUCAUCUGGCUGAUUAUUAUAAACCUUGCACUACCAGCUUUUGAUUUCAUAGUCUUUCUUAGUGCAAGAUAGAUUUGUUGGCUUUAGUAUAUAUUGUUCAGAUUUUUAUGUUACAAUUUUUAUAUUAAAUAAUAAAUUUAUAGUCUGUUGCCAAUGAUUCAGAAUUAAAGAAUAGUUAAUUUGGUUUAAAUU
This is a long non-coding RNA of Vicia villosa (hairy vetch), 2030 nucleotides long. RefSeq lists it as uncharacterized. NCBI's taxonomy places the organism in Eukaryota, Viridiplantae, Streptophyta, Magnoliopsida, Fabales, Fabaceae. The record is from RefSeq and is a predicted model, not a curated record. The transcript has 3 exons.